AUAGUUGCUUAUUAUCUCAGCCAAGUUCAGGUGUAAUAUCUGUUUUGGUUUUUUUUCAGUUUAAUAUCGGAUACGCUCCCUAUUUAGGGACCAUAUAUUACAUGAAUUUUUAGUAAGAUAGAAGAGGAGCUUGCUCUGUCCACUUUAUAUAUUAACCUGGUAUUGCAGUGCGUCCAGGACCAGUACACAAAUA
Molecule: small nuclear RNA, 193 nt
Organism: Pseudophryne corroboree (corroboree frog)
Lineage: Eukaryota; Metazoa; Chordata; Amphibia; Anura; Myobatrachidae
Product: U2 spliceosomal RNA
Exons: 1
Source: RefSeq, a predicted model, not a curated record